RNAcentral lists this non-coding RNA (24 nucleotides) under Arabidopsis thaliana (thale cress). The record is from RNAcentral. Lineage: Eukaryota; Viridiplantae; Streptophyta; Magnoliopsida; Brassicales; Brassicaceae.
AGGUCGAGGCGACGGUGGUGACAG